Molecule: ribosomal RNA, 253 nt
Filed under: uncultured bacterium
Lineage: Bacteria
Description: partial 16S ribosomal RNA
Rfam family: Bacterial small subunit ribosomal RNA
Source: RNAcentral
UACGUAGGGGGCAAGCGUUGUCCGGAUUUAUUGGGCGUAAAGAGCGUGUAGGCGGCCUGGUAGGUCAGCUGUGAAAACUCGAGGCUCAACCUCGAGACGCCGGUUGAAACCAUCAGGCUAGAGUCCGGAAGAGGAGAGUGGAAUUCCAGGUGUAGCGGUGAAAUGCGCAGAUAUCUGGAGGAACACCGGUGGCGAAGGCGGCGUCCUGGACCAAUUCUGACACUGAGGAGCGAAAGCCAGGGGAGCAAACGGG